Molecule: ribosomal RNA, 241 nt
Filed under: uncultured microorganism
Description: partial 16S ribosomal RNA
Rfam family: Bacterial small subunit ribosomal RNA
Source: RNAcentral
GAGUUUGAUCGUGGCUCAGAUUGAACGCUGGCGGCAUGCCUUACACAUGCAAGUCGAACGGCAGCAUGAUCUAGCUUGCUAGAUUGAUGGCGAGUGGCGAACGGGUGAGUAAUACAUCGGAACGUGCCCUGUAGUGGGGAUAACUAGUCGAAAGAUUAGCUAAUACCGCAUACGACCUGAGGGUGAAAGUGGGGACCGCAAGGCCUCAUGCUAUAGGAGCGGCCGAUGUCUGAUUAGCUAG